CGGCCUGGUAAAUCCUUUGUGAAAUUGUCCAGCCUAACUGGGCAGCGCGCAAGGGACACUAUCAGGCUCGAGACCGGGAGGAGUCAGAAGUAUUCCAGGGGGAGCGGUAAAAUGUUAUAAUCCCUGGAGGACUACCUGUGGCGAAAGCGUCUGACUAGAACGGAUCUGACGGUGAGGGACGAAAGCCAGGGGAGCGAACCGGAUUAGAUACCCGAGUAGUCCUGGCCGUAAACGCUGCGAGCUAGGUGUUGCGCCAGCUACAUGUUGGUGCAGUGUCGAAAGGAAGCUGUUAAGCUCGCCGCCUGGGAA
RNAcentral lists this ribosomal RNA (309 nucleotides) under uncultured archaeon. RNAcentral describes it as "bacterial SSU rRNA". It matches the Rfam family "Archaeal small subunit ribosomal RNA", at positions 526 to 834 of the family's 1478-position model. The record is from RNAcentral.